RNAcentral lists this ribosomal RNA (494 nucleotides) under uncultured bacterium. Its description in RNAcentral is "partial 16S ribosomal RNA". It matches the Rfam family "Bacterial small subunit ribosomal RNA", at positions 28 to 507 of the family's 1533-position model. The record is from RNAcentral.
GACGAACGCUGGCGGCGUGCUUAACACAUGCAAGUCGAACGGAAAGGCCUGCUUUCCCUUGUGGAUUGCGGGUGCUCGAGUGGCGAACGGGUGAGUAACACGUGAGUGAUCUGCCCCCAACUUUGGUAUAAGCCUGGGAAACUGGGUCUAAUUCCCGAUAGGACUGCAGGGUGGUGCCUGUGGUGGAAAACGAUUUUCUAGUGGUUGGGGAUGAGCUCGCGGCCUAUCAGCUUGUUGGUGGGGUAAUGGUCUACCAAGGGGGGGACGGGUAGGCGGUCUGGGGGGGUGGACGGGCACAGGGGGCCUGAGACACGGCCAAGACUCUGACGGGAGGCAGCAGUGGGGAAGAUGGAGUAAGGAGUGGAAGCCUGAGGCAGCGACGCUGAGGGGGGGAUGACGGGCUUCGGGUUGUAAACUCCUUUCGACCGCGAGGAAGCCACCUGGUUGGAAGGGUGGUGACGGUAGUGGUAGAAGAAGCACCGGCUAACUACGUG